CCACUGCUAUCGGGAUAGGACUAAGACAUGCUAGUCGUGUGCCUCAGCCAAAACGAGGCACGGCGCACAGCUCAGUAACACGUGGCUAACCUGCCCUUAGGACGAGAAUAACCCCGGGAAACUGGGGCUAAUGCUCGAUAGGUGAAGAACUCUGGAAUGAGUCUUCACUUAAAAGAGUCUGCGUUAUGCUCGUAGAUUUCGCUUAAGGAUGGGGCCGCGACCGAUCAGGUUGUUGGUGAGGUAAUGGCUCACCAAGCCUUUUACCGGUGCGGGCCGUGAGAGCGGGAGCCCGGAGAUGGGCACUGAGACAAGGGCCCAGGCCCUACGGGGCGCAGCAGUCGCGAAAACUUUGCAAUACACGAAAGUGUGACAGGGCUAUCCCGAGUGCCAUCCGCUGAGGAAGGCUUUUACCCAGUCUAGAACGCUGGGGGAAUAAGGAGAGGGCAAGUCUGGUGUCAGCCGCCGCGGUAAUACCAGCUCUCCGAGUGGUGUGGAUGUUUAUUGGGCCUAAAGCAUCCGUAGCUGGCUAAGUUAGUCCCCUGUUAAAUCCAACGAAUUAAUCGUUGGAUCGCGGGGGAUACUGCUUGGCUAGGGGACGAGAGAGGCAGACGGUAUUUCCGGGGUAGGGGUGAAAUCCUAUAAUCCCGGGAAGACCACCAGUGGCGAAGGCUGUCUGCUAGAACGCGCCCGACGGUGAGGGAUGAAAGCUGGGGGAGCGAACCGGAUUAGAUACCCGGGUAGUCCCAGCUGUAAACGAUGCAGGCUAGGUGUUUGGACGGCCACGUGCCGUUCUAGUGCCGCAGGGAAGCUGUUAAGCCUGCCGCCUGGGGAGUACGAUCGCAAGAUUGAAACUUAAAGGAAUUGGCGGGGGAGCACCACAAGGGGUGAAGCU
Molecule: ribosomal RNA, 892 nt
Filed under: uncultured archaeon
Lineage: Archaea
Description: bacterial SSU rRNA
Rfam family: Archaeal small subunit ribosomal RNA
Source: RNAcentral